GACGAACGCUGGCGGCGUGCUUAACACAUGCAAGUCGAGCGGUAAGGCCCUUUCGGGGUACGACGAGCGGCGAACGGGUAGAGUAACACGUGGGUGACCUCGCCCUUACGCUCUGGGAGUAAGCCUGGGAAACGUGGGUCGUAAUACCGGAUAUGACUCCAUGACGCAUGUUGUGGGGUGGAAAGCCUUGUGCGGCUAGGGAGUGGGCCCGCGGCCUAUCAGCUUGUUGGUGGGGUGAUGGCCUACCAAGGCGACGACGGGUAGCCGGCCUGAGAGGGCGACCGGCCACACUGGGACUGAGACACGGCCC
Molecule: ribosomal RNA, 310 nt
Filed under: uncultured bacterium
Lineage: Bacteria
Description: bacterial SSU rRNA
Rfam family: Bacterial small subunit ribosomal RNA
Source: RNAcentral